UGGGCCAGCAGGUGUGUGCUCAUCUAU
This 27-nucleotide non-coding RNA is filed under the name Homo sapiens (human). The record is from RNAcentral. Lineage: Eukaryota; Metazoa; Chordata; Mammalia; Primates; Hominidae.